This 915-nucleotide long non-coding RNA is filed under the name Chinchilla lanigera (long-tailed chinchilla). RNAcentral's name for it is "lncRNA (ENSCLAG00000028266.1)". Lineage: Eukaryota; Metazoa; Chordata; Mammalia; Rodentia; Chinchillidae. The record is from RNAcentral.
CAAGUGCUGGCGGCCUCGGCCAAUGGCGGAAGAGAGGCCGGGGCCGGCGGCCGCGUGGGUUUUAAAUCCACGUGGUGGCGGGGGACGGAGGGCGGGGCGCUCAAGAAUGGGGAGCGGGUGGAGGCUGCGGAGCGGCUCUGGGGCUUGGUUCUGCUAGGAAAGACGGCCUUGCAGAGCCUGUUUAUAUCAGUAGGGUUUCUGAGGUCCAGGGGACUCGGCGGGCGCUACCCGAGCGUGUGCCGGGCGGUCUUGCUAGGAGAGGGCAGGACACGCGAGAGCAGGGGUAACCGCACGCGUGCCCUCUGUAACCACCGGCGGACGGCUCAGUCACCCCCCCUCUGUCUGCCUCCUCCGCCACAUCGGAGCUCCCACUCGUCUCUUCCACGGUGGGGGCGGGGUCCCUGGGCCUCUUGGAAGGUGUGACAUUCGAGCCCAGCCAGCUGCCUUCCACAUAACAACGGGCUGUCCCCACUCGACUUUAUUUCUCACUGUACUGGGACAUAGACAAAGUGCAAGCUACAGUGGGGUCUCAUGGAGAACUGCCUAUGUAACCGCCAGCCAGAUUAAGGUAGGGAAUAUUCCUACUGGUGUAGCAAGUUCCCAGGUAUUACAACCCCACUGCUGCUGCAGAGGUAAGCACAAUUCUGACUUUGUUACUGUAGAUUUGUGUUGCCUCUUAAACGUCACGGAAAUGCAACCCUACCGUAUAUGUUCUUCUGGAUCUGCCUUUUCUCCUCACUACUGAAUUUGAGCGAAUGGGGCCUAUUGCUAGAUCCCUGGCCUAUUUUGAAUUUUAUUUUGAGACAGGUUCCCCCUAAAUUCAGGCUGGCCUUGAACUCACAGUCAUCCUGCUUCAGCUUCAGGCCGCUGUGAUUCCACACGUGUAGCACCAUGCCCAGCCUGGUGGCGUUCCUU